Molecule: ribosomal RNA, 252 nt
Filed under: uncultured bacterium
Lineage: Bacteria
Description: partial 16S ribosomal RNA
Rfam family: Bacterial small subunit ribosomal RNA
Source: RNAcentral
UACGUAGGUGGCAAGCGUUGUUCGGAAUUAUUGGGCGUAAAGGGCGCGUAGGCGGUUGUUAAGUCGGCUGUGAAAGCCUGGGGCUCAACCCCAGAGGGUCGGCCGAUACUGGCAAACUAGAGUACGGAAGAGGUAGCUGGAAUUCCCGGUGUAGCGGUGAAAUGCGUAGAUAGUCGGGAGGAACACCUGAGGCGAAGGCGGGCUACUGGGCCGAUACUGACGCUGAUGCGCGAAAGCCAGGGAGCGAACGGG